This 448-nucleotide ribosomal RNA is filed under the name uncultured bacterium. RNAcentral's name for it is "partial 16S ribosomal RNA". It matches the Rfam family "Bacterial small subunit ribosomal RNA", at positions 29 to 523 of the family's 1533-position model. The record is from RNAcentral.
AACGAACGCUGGCGGCAGGCUUAACACAUGCAAGUCGAACGCCCCGCAAGGGGAGUGGCAGACGGGUGAGUAACGCGUGGGAAUCUACCCAGUUCUACGGAACAACUGAGGGAAACUUCAGCUAAUACCGUAUACGCCCUACGGGGGAAAGAUUAUAUCGGAAUCGGAUGAGCCCGCGUUGGAUUAGCUAGUUGGUGAGGUAAUGGCUCACCAAGGCGAUGAUCCAUAGCUGGUCUGAGAGGAUGAUCGGCAACACUGGGACUGAGACACGGCCGAGACUCCUGCGGGGGGCAGCAGUGGGAAAUAUGGGACAAGGGGGGAAAGCGUGAUCCAGCCAUGCCGCGUGAGGGAUGAGGGCUUUAGGGUUAUAAACCUCUUUCGGUGGGGACGAUAAGGACGGUACCCACAGAAGAAGCCCCGACUAACUUCGUGCCAGCCGCCGCCAUAA